AUUUUUGUUUACCGAAAAUUUCCGAAACCUUCUAACAUUUUUUUUACACUAAGGAAGUAUUAAAGUCCGCUGAACAAUUAAAAAAAAAUUUCGAAUCGUCUCAGCCAUAAUUAUGUUGGUGCUAUUUAACAAGAAUAUUAUAGAGAGUGAUAAAAAACCUCCUAAAAUCAACAAUACUUCGAGAAAGAAUUCUCAACAAAUUGGAUCUUAGCAACUACACCGUUGCCUUUCUACACUUCAAAUAAUGAUAUAAUUACUGAGAUCUCAAAGUAGGUUAAAAACACAGCAAACUGUUGAGGAUCUAGCGCAGAUAAAAUUGUUCGCAAUAGAUCAACAAAACAUGGCUAACUAUGGAGAGAUAAGGUAUCAGUAGAAGCUGGUGGAUUUGGAGCACUCAACGUUGAUAUCAAAAGGCCAUGUGUUUACACAUACUUUAUACAAACACACAUUAAUUCUUUUUUGUUUAAAUGCAAACGAAAGCUGUUCAGAAGAAUAAAUAGUAUAAAUAUUUCUAAAAUUAGCAUAUAUGCUCAGGUGGUCAGCCAAUUGUUUAUCUAAAGCAAAGAAAUACUAAAUAAUUCCCGUUAAUUUGAUUUCUGAUUUUCUGUUUGUAAAGCAAAAACAAAAGCCGGUUUGUUGUGUAUUAGUAUAUCUACUAAAGUAAAAUUUAGUAUGCUAAUUAAAAAUAAUACGUAAUUUAAGAAAUUCAAGUUCUAUGUUAGUGCAGCUUGGCAACUACAUCGACAAAGAAAUUAAUAAAACUGGAGGUAAACAACAAGCUCUCGUGUGAGUAAUAACAAUAAUUUUAAAAGAAAAAUGAAGAACGAGUCUAAUAAAACAGUUAUGUGAAAAGUGCGAUAUUUUUUAACCUUGGUUAUGCGGUUCUUUAAAAGCAGUAAUCGAUCACCAACUCAGUAUGUGUUUCCAUAUACUUCCAUGUACUCUCCGUGAAACGAGAUCGAAGUGCAGAGAUUUAUUUUGUGUGAGAAAACGAUGAUAUUCAUUUACAUAAAUUACAAAGUUUUCAUAUUACUCAAAAGGAAAUAAAAUUCGAAUUUCUAUUUGUUACGUCACUGGUCCUCAGACUAACCAAAAAUUUGUGGAAUGAUGGAAAUAAGUCAGUUAAUGUUUAAACGUUGUUUUUUUUGUUUGUAAUGUACCACUCUACAAAUCUUUUCAAAAGACCAUUAAAUUCACGUUUGAUUAUCUAAAACAACGUAUGUACGCACUGAAUUUUCAGACCAAUAUAUUUUUGAGAGAUCAUCGCUGUGAGAUCAAGUUAAUCGUCUCAACUGAAUCAUGUGAAUGUCUCAGACCUUCCGAGACCAAAAAUUUCUUGUAAGAAACAUCAUGUAUUCGAAAUAUGGAUAAAAGAACUGAGGAGUUAGAGAUCUGUAUAUAUGCCGGUGUUGAAACUCAAUUUUCUUGAUAUUGGAUCAUUCUUUUUCGCAGCAACAGAAUUUUUUAACAUUCAGAGCUAGAACGUUAGAUAUAUUGCGACACACAGCAUAACAAAUAAAAGGAGCUUUCCAACUUCAAACAAAGCCAACUCAAGACCAAAUUAUCUAAUUUUUCUGCCAAACGCAUUGUAAAGGAAGAAAGGAGACAAAAUUGUAGUAAGUUCUGUGUUCUGGCAAUAAUCCAUGCCGAAUUGCGUGAAGGUACCUCGACAAAUAAAAAAUAU
This is a long non-coding RNA of Bactrocera oleae (olive fruit fly), 1684 nucleotides long. RefSeq lists it as uncharacterized. NCBI's taxonomy places the organism in Eukaryota, Metazoa, Arthropoda, Insecta, Diptera, Tephritidae. The record is from RefSeq and is a predicted model, not a curated record.